AACGAACGCUGGCGGCAUGCCUAACACAUGCAAGUCGAACGAGACCUUCGGGUCUAGUGUCGCACGGGUGCGUAACGCGUGGGAACCUGCCCUUAGGUUCGGAAUAACUCCCCGAAAGGGGUGCUAAUACCGGACAAUGUCUUCGGACCAAAGAUUUAUCGCCUUUGGUUGGGCCCGCGUUGGAUUAGCUAGUUGGUAGGGUAAAAGCCUACCAAGGCGACGAUCCACAGCUGGUCUGAGAGGAUGAUCAGCCACACUGGGACUGAGACACGGCCCAGACUCCUACGGGAGGCAGCAGUGGGGAAUAGUGGACAGUGGGCGAAAGCCUGAUCCAGCAAUGCCGCGUGAGUGAUGAAGGCCUUAGGGUUGUAAAGCUCUUUUACCCGGGAUGAUAAUGACAGUACCGGGAGAAUAAGCUCCGGCUAACUCCGUG
RNAcentral lists this ribosomal RNA (433 nucleotides) under uncultured bacterium. RNAcentral's name for it is "partial 16S ribosomal RNA". It matches the Rfam family "Bacterial small subunit ribosomal RNA", at positions 29 to 507 of the family's 1533-position model. The record is from RNAcentral.